Molecule: ribosomal RNA, 446 nt
Filed under: uncultured bacterium
Lineage: Bacteria
Description: partial 16S ribosomal RNA
Rfam family: Bacterial small subunit ribosomal RNA
Source: RNAcentral
CCUACGGGUGGCAGCAGUCGAGAAUCAUUCACAAUGGGGGAAACCCUGAUGGUGCGACGCCGCGUGGGGGAAUGAAGGUCUUCGGAUUGUAAACCCCUGUCAUGUGGGAGCAAAUUAAAAAGAUAGUACCACAAGAGGAAGAGACGGCUAACUCUGUGCCAGCAGCCGCGGUAAUACAGAGGUCUCAAGCGUUGUUCGGAAUCACUGGGCGUAAAGCGUGCGUAGGCUGUUUGGUAAGUCGUGUGUGAAAGGCGCGGGCUCAACCCGCGGACGGCACAUGAUACUGCGAGACUAGAGUGAUGGAGAGGGAUGCGGAAGUCUCGGUGUAGCAGUGAAAUGCGUAGAUAUCGAGAGGAACACUCGUGGCGAAGGCGGGUUCCUGGACAUUAACUGACGCUGAGGCACGAAGGCCAGGGGAGCGAAAGGGAUUAGAUACCCUUGUAGUC